RNAcentral lists this transfer RNA (70 nucleotides) under Novosphingobium pentaromativorans US6-1. RNAcentral's name for it is "tRNA-Leu". Lineage: Bacteria; Pseudomonadati; Pseudomonadota; Alphaproteobacteria; Sphingomonadales; Sphingomonadaceae. The record is from RNAcentral.
GGCCGUUUUCCAUGUCUUAACACCCUUCACACGGGUGGGGUCACAGGUUCAAUCCCUGUCGCGCCCACCA